This is a long non-coding RNA of Myzus persicae (green peach aphid), 569 nucleotides long. RefSeq lists it as uncharacterized. Lineage: Eukaryota; Metazoa; Arthropoda; Insecta; Hemiptera; Aphididae. The record is from RefSeq and is a predicted model, not a curated record. The transcript has 2 exons.
AGCAUUAUUACACAGUGUUCGUUAUAACAAUAAUACUAAAAUAAUAUAAUUUAAUGUAGAAGGAUUGUAUUUUGACCAUCCAAAUUGGGUUUAUCUUUUUUUGUGAACGACAAUCUAUGCGUUGAUGCAAAAAAAAUUUGAAAUUUUUAAUAUUUUUUUCACUUUUGAAUUUCGGUGACAUUUAUGUUUUUAUUAGUACUGUACUAUCCAAUGAGAGUUCAGACACACUCUUUAAGACUGAAUCAUUCUACCCACCAUAGAAUAAACUUCAUUCCCAGGGAAUUUUACGUUUUGUUCAGACCCUUGGCAUGGUGACAUUAUUGAGCAAAAAUCAUCAUGUUGCCACAAUAGUGAAAAUGGUAAUAGGUUAUAACAAUCAAUGACUGAUGGAUUGGGAUCUUGUGAUAUGAGAAAUUCUUACAUUAAUAUUGUAACUUUUUUUUUAUAUAAGGGCUUUACCACACUUGCUACCACAACGGAUUCCAGAAUUUCCCGAAGACUUCUACAUUCUUGGGGGUUUUCUGGCAAUCACAAGGCUGGCAACUCGUAUGGGCAUACGGAACCGAAUU